RNAcentral lists this ribosomal RNA (422 nucleotides) under uncultured eukaryote. RNAcentral describes it as "SSU rRNA". It matches the Rfam family "Eukaryotic small subunit ribosomal RNA", at positions 587 to 972 of the family's 1831-position model. The record is from RNAcentral.
AGCUCCAAUAGCGUAUAUUAAAGUUGUUGCAGUUAAAAAGCUCGUAGUUGGAUCUCGGGUGUGCGGCUUGGCGGUGGCGGUCUCUUGUUCGAGCCUCUAGCGGGGGGAGAGCGGAGUCCGUUUCGCAAACUGCUGGCCGUGACCUGCCAGCCGGUUUGGCCUGGGUGCUCUUAGGUGAGUGUCCUGGCUGGCCGGAACGUUUACUUUGAAGAAAUUAGAGUGCUCCAAGCAGGCUGCUUCUGCCUGAAUAUCAGUGCAUGGAAUAAUGGAAGAGGACCUCGGUUCUAUUUUGUUGGUUUUCGGAACUGGAGGUAAUGAUUAAGAGGGACAGACGGGGGCAUUCGUAUUACGGUGUUAGAGGUGAAAUUCUUGGAUCGCCGUAAGACGAACUACUGCGAAAGCAUUUGCCAAGAAUGUUUUCA